Molecule: non-coding RNA, 45 nt
Organism: Schistosoma curassoni
Lineage: Eukaryota; Metazoa; Platyhelminthes; Trematoda; Strigeidida; Schistosomatidae
Source: Rfam
AUCUAAACGACGAGUCUCAAAUAGGACGAAGCGCGCGUCCUGGAU